Molecule: transfer RNA, 73 nt
Filed under: Chitinophaga rhizophila
Lineage: Bacteria; Pseudomonadati; Bacteroidota; Chitinophagia; Chitinophagales; Chitinophagaceae
Description: Chitinophaga sp. B61 tRNA-OTHER
Rfam family: tRNA
About the family: Transfer RNA (tRNA) molecules are approximately 80 nucleotides in length.
Source: RNAcentral
GGAUAGGAUAGCUCAAAGGAAGAGUGCCUGCGCUCAGGCAGGAAGUUGCUGGUUCGAUUCCAGCUCCUAUCCG